GACGAACACUGGCGGCGUGCUUAACACAUGCAAGUCGAACGCUGAAGCCUAGCUUGCUGGGUGGAUGAGUGGCGAACGGGUGAGUAACACGUGAGUAACCUGCCCCCUUCUUUGGGAUAACGCCCGGAAACGGGUGCUAAUACUGGAUAUUCACUGAUCUUCGCAUGGGGGUUGGUGGAAAGGUUUGUUCUGGUGGGGGAUGGGCUCGCGGCCUAUCAGCUUGUUGGUGGGGUGAUGGCCUACCAAGGCUUUGACGGGUAGCCGGCCUGAGAGGGUGACCGGUCACAUUGGGACUGAGAUACGGCCCAGACUCCUACGGGAGGCAGCAGUGUUUUAUAUUGCACAAUGGGCGCAAGCCUGAUGCAGCGACGCCGCGUGAGGGAUGGAGGCCUUCGGGUUGUAAACCUCUUUCGCUCAUGGUCAAGCCGCAACAGUGGUUGUGGUGAGGGUAGUGGGUAAAAAAGCGCCGGCUAACUACGCGCCACCAGCCGCGGUAAUACGUAGGGCGCGAGCGUUGUCCGGAAUUAUUGGGCGUAAAGGGCUUGCAGGCGGUUGGUCCCCCCUGCUCGAAAUCCUCUGAAUUAACUGGGGGCGUGCGGGGGUGCUGGCUCACUUCAGCGCACUUAGGGUGGA
Molecule: ribosomal RNA, 633 nt
Filed under: uncultured Actinomyces sp.
Lineage: Bacteria; Bacillati; Actinomycetota; Actinomycetes; Actinomycetales; Actinomycetaceae
Description: bacterial SSU rRNA
Rfam family: Bacterial small subunit ribosomal RNA
Source: RNAcentral